Long non-coding RNA from Mus caroli (Ryukyu mouse), 662 nucleotides. RefSeq lists it as uncharacterized. NCBI's taxonomy places the organism in Eukaryota, Metazoa, Chordata, Mammalia, Rodentia, Muridae. The record is from RefSeq and is a predicted model, not a curated record.
UCUAGAAUCACCUGGGAAGGGACUCUCAGAGAUGGGUUGUCUACAUUGGUUAGCCCGAUGUUUUAUUAGAGCAACUGGAAACUGACCACAGUUGAGCAGCAAUAUGAACUAGCCACACAGCAGCUCUCUAAACAGUGAUAAUGGACACUGUGCACAAGGCAGGCAGAAAGAGCAGGCACCACAGCCAGCUUCCGGGUUCUCUGUGCCAUGGAGAAAUGGAUCUUGGUUCCUGCAGGAGGAAGAGGGAAGAAACAGCAGCGUGUUCCAAGAACGGUCCGCUGUGAUGAGUCGCCAGGCUUGUGUCAAGUGUUCGUAUUGUAAAAUCUUGAGAACUGUAAGCAUCACCAUGCAUCCACACGCCUAGGGAGCCAAAGAGCACCGCCCACAGUGGAACCCAGUGACGAUCAGCUGGGAGGUAAUGCCCAGCACCUUAUACCAGCCAACAGUGUCCUGAGACCUCUACCAGUGGCAUAUGUUCAUCUCUGAGAGCUAAAGUCAGGCUCAGUUUCCAGACGAGAGGGCAGAGAUUUAGAAAGGUGGCUUAGAUUUCUAAAAUUUCUAAAGCCAGCUAGGGCAGCUGGGUUCAAAUCACAGUGGUUUGUACCUGUGCCAAGUGUAUUACGGUUCUCACUGGUGUGGCCAAAGUCUUAACAAAAAAAAAA